CUGAAUUGGAAUUGGUGGUUCAGUUAAGGCAUCAUGGCGGACAAAAUAAGGUGCCAUAUGGAACAAACUGCUAAAAAACUGAAAUCGAAACCGCUUCAAACCAGAACCAGAAUCACAAUUGAAUCAGACUGAACUUGGCUCUGAACUAUGUUAAACUGAACCUGGCUGAACCGCCUAGGGCCAGUCUGAUUCCUAUUCAUUCUCUCUCUGCCCUAAACUGUUAGUUCUGGCUCGGAUCGAUGGCCUGGUCUAUCAUAAACUCCUUGCACUGGUUUUUUUUCUUUUCCCUUUUUUGGGAGGGAGGGGGUAGUGGUUACUUUAAGUGAUGAAAUUGUUGCAAUACUUGCUAUAAUAUUUUGGGCUUUUGGCAUGGAAAACCUGAUUUUCUUUGCCUACUGCUGGUUGAGGGGCCAUAGAUGGUGGUAGAUCUGGCAAUUGUCUGGUUAAG
Molecule: unclassified non-coding RNA, 448 nt
Filed under: Hevea brasiliensis (rubber tree)
Lineage: Eukaryota; Viridiplantae; Streptophyta; Magnoliopsida; Malpighiales; Euphorbiaceae
Source: RNAcentral